CUUGAAAGUAAUGUUGUGAAGGACACUGGCUAUUUAGGAGACAUCGAAACCUCGCCCAAUGAAUCUUGCGAGAGCGGAAGCUCUGAUUCUGAAGAUAACAUUCCUUGGGCGAUUUCUAAAGGUGAUGAACAAGUUUCUACUGAGACAGGACAAUUUCUAGACAAUUCCAGAGGUGAAGAGGGGAAUUCAUAUACUUGCGAUGGAUUGCCGAAUGGAGAUAUAGUUCAUCGACGUCACGUAGAAAAUGAGGCAAAGUGGAACACGAGGCCUGGAAUAGGGAUUUUAUUCAAUAAAGGGGAGCCUACGUAUAAUUGGUCUAACAGAGAUUUCCUCGAGAAACCAGGAAAAUUCAUCCGA
Non-coding RNA from Pocillopora verrucosa, 357 nucleotides. The record is from RefSeq and is a predicted model, not a curated record. NCBI's taxonomy places the organism in Eukaryota, Metazoa, Cnidaria, Anthozoa, Scleractinia, Pocilloporidae.